This 443-nucleotide ribosomal RNA is filed under the name uncultured bacterium. RNAcentral's name for it is "partial 16S ribosomal RNA". It matches the Rfam family "Bacterial small subunit ribosomal RNA", at positions 338 to 795 of the family's 1533-position model. The record is from RNAcentral.
CCUACGGGUAGCAGCAGUGGGGAAUAUUGGGCAAUGGAGGCAACUCUGACCCAGCAACGCCGCGUGAAUGAUGAAGGUCUUCGGAUUGUAAAGUUCUGUGAUGGGGGAUGAACACAAUGACGGUACCCCCAUAGCAAGCCACGGCUAACUACGUGCCAGCAGCCGCGGGAAUACGUAGGUGGCAAGCGUUAUCCGGAAUGACUGGGCGUAAAGGGUGCGUAGGUGGGUUAGUAAGUUGGCGGUGUCAUUCCGGGGCUUAACCUCGGCGCUACCGCCAAAACUAUUAGACGAGAGUGCAGGAGGGGUAAGUGGAAUGCCUAGUGUAGCGGUGGAAUGCGUAGAUAUUAGGAGGAACAUCAGGGGCGAAGGCGACUUACUGGACUGUAACUGACACUGAGGCACGAAAGCGUGGGGAGCAAACAGGAUUAGAUACCCCUGUAGUC